GUGCGGUUUAUUACUUUUGUAGGCUGACUGCCAGUACUUAGAUUUAUCGUUCCUUGAAAAUGGACCUUUUAAAAUGUUUUCUCACGGGUCUCGCUCUGUCACCCAGGCUGGAGGAGUGUGGUGGCAUGAUCUUGGCUUACUUCAACCUUUACCUCUGUUUCAAGGGAUUCUCAUGCCUCAGCCUCCUGAGUAGCUAAGAUUACAGAACCAAGGUUCCAUGCUGACUUCAUGAAAUAAAUUAUUGGAGUGGGAAGAAGAACACAGUGCAGAGGCUGAGUGGUCCAAAAAAAAAAAAAGCUUCUCCAUUCUCCACACCAUCAAACACUGUGAUCACAAUGGAGGACUUUACAAUCACCAUCUUUAUAGCUGGUUUAUGAUGCAAUGACUCCAUGUAUCAAUAUAAUUCUUUGCCAAGAGAAUUUGUAUGGUUCAAUUCUUGGGUGAAUAAAAACACUACCUGGUUUAAAAAUA
This is a long non-coding RNA of Pan troglodytes (chimpanzee), 471 nucleotides long. RefSeq lists it as uncharacterized. The transcript has 4 exons. NCBI's taxonomy places the organism in Eukaryota, Metazoa, Chordata, Mammalia, Primates, Hominidae. The record is from RefSeq and is a predicted model, not a curated record.